AGGGAUGUAGCUUUGUGGUAGAGUGUGUGCUUAGCUUUCACUAGGUCCUGGGUUCAAUUUCCAGCACCCCUC
RNAcentral lists this transfer RNA (72 nucleotides) under Marmota marmota marmota (Alpine marmot). It matches the Rfam family "tRNA". From Rfam's summary of the family: Transfer RNA (tRNA) molecules are approximately 80 nucleotides in length. Their secondary structure includes four short double-helical elements and three loops (D, anti-codon, and T loops). RNAcentral also lists the same sequence under 1 other name. The record is from Rfam by way of RNAcentral. Lineage: Eukaryota; Metazoa; Chordata; Mammalia; Rodentia; Sciuridae.